UGGGUGAUGGCGUGCCUUUUGUAGAAUGAACCGGCGAGUUACGAUCUCGUGCGAGGUUAAGUCGAAAAGACGGAGCCGUAGCGAAAGCGAGUCUGAAUAGGGCGUAUAGUACGAGGUCGUAGACCCGAAACCAGGUGAUCUACCCAUGUCCAGGGUGAAGGUAGGGUAAUACCUACUGGAGGCCCGAACCCACGCACGUUGAAAAGUGCGGGGAUGAGGUGUGGGUAGGGGUGAAAUGCCAAUCGAACUUGGAGAUAGCUGGUUCUCCCCGAAAUAGCUUUAGGGCUAGCCUCGAGUGAAGAGUCUUGGAGGUAGAGCACUGAUUGGGCUAGGGGCCCUCAUCGGGUUACCGAACUCAGUCAAACUCCGAAUGCCAAUGACUUAUACUCGGGAGUCAGACUACGAGUGAUAAGAUCCGUGGUCAAGAGGGAAACAGCCCAGAUCACCAGCUAAGGUCCCAAAGUAUACGUUAAGUGGAAAAGGAUGUGGAGUUGCUUAGACAACCAGGAUGUUGGCUUAGAAGCAGCCACCAUUUAAAGAGUGCGUAAUAGCUCACUGGUCGAGUGACUCUGCGCCGAAAAUGUACCGGGGCUAAACGUAUCACCGAAGCUGUGGGACGACUUGCGUCGUCGGUAGGGGAGCGUUCUAAGGGCGUCGAAGCUAGACCGGAAGGACUAGUGGAGCGCUUAGAAGUGAGAAUGCCGGUGUGAGUAGCGAAAACAGAGGUGAGAAUCCUCUGCACCGAAAGCCUAAGGUUUCCUGAGGAAGGCUCGUCCGCUCAGGGUUAGUCGGGACCUAAGCCGAGGCCGAAAGGCGUAGGCGAUGGACAACAGGUUGAUAUUCCUGUACCACCUCCUCACCGUUUGAGCAAUGGGGGGACGCAGGAGGAUAGGGUCAGCGCGCGACUGGUUGUGCGCGUCCAAGCAGUUAGGCGCCUCAAGUAGGCAAAUCCGCUUGAGUAGGCUGAGCUGUGAUGGCGAGGGAAAUCCAGUACCGAAGUGCCUGAUUCCACACUGCCAAGAAAAGCCUCUAGCGAGGUGAGAGGUGCCCGUACCGCAAACCGACACAGGUAGGCGAGGAGAGAAUCCUAAGGUGCGCGGGAGAACUCUCGUUAAGGAACUCGGCAAAAUGACCCCGUAACUUCGGGAGAAGGGGUGCUCCCUCGGGUGAAUAGCCCAGGGGAGCCGCAGUGAAAAGGCCCAAGCGACUGUUUAUCAAAACACAGGUCUCUGCGAAGCCGUAAGGCGAAGUAUAGGGGCUGACACCUGCCCGGUGCUGGAAGGUUAAGGGGAGCGCUUAGCGCAAGCGAAGGUGCGAACCGAAGCCCCAGUAAACGGCGGCCGUAACUAUAACGGUCCUAAGGUAGCGAAAUUCCUUGUCGGGUAAGUUCCGACCCGCACGAAAGGUGUAACGACUUGGGCACUGUCUCAACGAGAGACCCGGUGAAAUCAUAGUACCUGUGAAGAUGCAGGUUACCCGCGACAGGACGGAAAGACCCCGUGGAGCUUUACUGCAGCCUGAUAUUGAAUGUUGGUGCGACAUGUACAGCAUAGGUGGGAGACUGAGAAGCCUGGACGCCAGUCUAGGUGGAGUCGCCGUUGGGAUACCACCCUUGUCGUACUGAGAUUCUAACCCGCACCCCUGAUCGGGGUGGGAGACAGUGUCAGGUGGGCAGUUUGACUGGGGCGGUCGCCUCCCAAAGCGUAACGGAGGCGCCCAAAGGUUCCCUCAGAAUGGUUGGAAAUCAUUCGUAGAGUGUAAAGGCAGAAGGGAGCUUGACUGCGAGACCUACAAGUCGAGCAGGGACGAAGUCGGGCUUAGUGAUCCGGUGGUUCCGAAUGGAAGGGCCAUCGCUCAACGGAUAAAAGCUACCCCGGGGAUAACAGGCUUAUCUCCCCCAAGAGUCCACAUCGACGGGGAGGUUUGGCACCUCGAUGUCGGCUCAUCGCAUCCUGGGGCUGUAGUCGGUCCCAAGGGUUGGGCUGUUCGCCCAUUAAAGCGGUACGCGAGCUGGGUUCAGAACGUCGUGAGACAGUUCGGUCCCUAUCCGUCGCGGGCGUAGGAAAUUUGAGAGGAGCUGUCCUUAGUACGAGAGGACCGGGAUGGACGCACCGCUGGUGUACCAGUUGUCCCGCCAGGGGCACAGCUGGGUAGCUAUGUGCGGAAGGGAUAAGCGCUGAAAGCAUCUAAGCGUGAAGCCCCCCUCAAGAUGAGAUUUCCCAUCGCGUCAAGCGAGUAAGAUCCCUUGAAGAUGACAAGGUAGAUAGGUCCGAGGUGGAAGCGUGGCGACACGUGUAGCUGACGGAUACUAAUCGAUCGAGGACUUAACUAAA
Molecule: ribosomal RNA, 2333 nt
Filed under: Anoxybacillus flavithermus
Lineage: Bacteria; Bacillati; Bacillota; Bacilli; Caryophanales; Anoxybacillaceae
Description: bacterial LSU rRNA
Rfam family: Bacterial large subunit ribosomal RNA
Source: RNAcentral